This 492-nucleotide ribosomal RNA is filed under the name uncultured bacterium. Its description in RNAcentral is "partial 16S ribosomal RNA". It matches the Rfam family "Bacterial small subunit ribosomal RNA", at positions 30 to 507 of the family's 1533-position model. The record is from RNAcentral.
AUUGAACGCUGGCGGCAUGCUUUACACAUGCAAGUCGAACGGUAACAGGCCUUCGGGUGCUGACGAGUGGCGCACGGGUGAGUAAUGCAUCGGAACGUGCCCAGAGGUGGGGGAUAACGCAGCGAAAGCUGUGCUAAUACCGCAUGUGAUCUGAGGAUGAAAGCGGGGGACCAGGCAGCAAUGUUUGGCCUCGCGCCUUUGGAGCGGCCGAUGUCAGAUUAGGUAGUUGGUGGGGUAAAGGCCUACCAAGCCGACGAUCUGUAGCUGGUCUGAGAGGACGACCAGCCACACUGGGACUGAGACACGGCCCAGACUCCUACGGGAGGCAGCAGUGGGGAAUUUUGGACAAUGGGCGCAAGCCUGAUCCAGCAAUGCCGCGUGAGGGAAGAAGGCCUUCGGGUUGUAAACCGCUUUUGUACGGAACGAAAAGGCUCUGGCUAAUACCUGGGGCUGAUGACGGUACCGGAAGAAUAAGCACCGGCUAACUACGUG